AUGGAACUCAGUUCAUCAGAUUUAGUGGCAAGCACCUUUACCCGUGGAGCCUUCUCGCCAGCUCAGUGUUGCUUUUUUUUUUUUUCUUUCUUUCCGGAGCUGGGGACUGAACCCAGGGCCUUGUGCUUGCUAGGCAAGCGCUCUACCACUGAGCUAAAUCCCCAACCCUCAGUGUUGCUUUUUAAUAUGUGUUGUGAAGCCACAUUCAGAAUAGUUUUCAUGCCAAGAGUAUACCCUGUGAGUAAUGGAAAUGUGUGUUGCUGUGUAUACACUUUAUCUUUGUGCACAGCUUCCGGAAGUGUGACCAGACCGGGCGGUGGGAUGGAAGACCCAUUACAGAGCUUCACAUGCUGUUCCAGGCCUGUUCUAACAGGAUACCAUUGCUUUAAUGAGAGAGAGAGAGAGAACAUGAAAUCUGUGUGGUGAGGAUCUGGGAGAAAAUAGAAGAAGGUAAAAACUAUGAUCACAAUAAAUUGUUUGAAAAAAAUUUUAAUUAAAAAUUUUAAUUAAAAGAUUUGUUGUUGUUUUUUUUAUGUGCACAUGUGUUUUUGUGUGAAAG
RNAcentral lists this long non-coding RNA (559 nucleotides) under Rattus norvegicus (Norway rat). Its description in RNAcentral is "long non-coding RNA NONRATT032428". The record is from RNAcentral. Lineage: Eukaryota; Metazoa; Chordata; Mammalia; Rodentia; Muridae.